This 239-nucleotide ribosomal RNA is filed under the name uncultured bacterium. RNAcentral's name for it is "partial 16S ribosomal RNA". It matches the Rfam family "Bacterial small subunit ribosomal RNA", at positions 95 to 334 of the family's 1533-position model. The record is from RNAcentral.
CCGGCAAACGGGUGCGGAACACGUACAGAACCUCCCUUUAAGCGGGGGAUAGCCCGGAGAAAUCCGGAUUAAUACCCCAUAGUAAUGUUGGGUGGCAUCACUUGAUAUUUAAAGAUUUAUCACUUAGAGAUGGCUGUGCGGCUGAUUAGGUAGUUGGCGGGGUAAAGGCCCACCAAGCCAUCGAUCAGUAACUGGUGUGAGAGCACGACCAGUCACACGGGCACUGAGACACGGGCCCG